RNAcentral lists this ribosomal RNA (477 nucleotides) under uncultured bacterium. Its description in RNAcentral is "bacterial SSU rRNA". It matches the Rfam family "Bacterial small subunit ribosomal RNA", at positions 8 to 480 of the family's 1533-position model. The record is from RNAcentral.
AGAGUUUGUAUUCUGGCUCAGGAUGAACGCUGGCGGCGUGCUUAACACAUGCAAGUCGAACGGGGAUGCUUAUGGAAGGAGUGCUUGCAUUCCGGAAGGAUGUAUCUUAGUGGCGGACGGGUGAGUAACGCGUGGGUAACCUGCCCCAUACCGGGGGAUACCACCUGGAAACAGGUGCUAAUACCGCAUAAGCGCACGGGAGCGCAUGCUCCUGUGUGAAAAACUCCGGUGGUAUGGGAUGGACCCGCGUCUGAUUAGCCAGUUGGCAGGGUAACGGCCUACCAAAGCGACGAUCAGUAGCCGGCCUGAGAGGGUGGACGGCCACAUUGGGACUGAGACACGGCCCAAACUCCUACGGGAGGCAGCAGUGGGGAAUAUUGCACAAUGGGGGAAACCCUGAUGCAGCGACGCCGCGUGAGUGAAGAAGUAUUUCGGUACGUAAAGCUCAAUCAGCAGGAACGAGACAAGACGGUACCU